This 253-nucleotide ribosomal RNA is filed under the name uncultured bacterium. RNAcentral describes it as "partial 16S ribosomal RNA". It matches the Rfam family "Bacterial small subunit ribosomal RNA", at positions 524 to 776 of the family's 1533-position model. The record is from RNAcentral.
GACAGAGGUGCCGAGCGUUAGGCGGAAUCACUGGGCUUAAAGCGUGUGUAGGCGGAGUUCUAAGUACCUUGUGAAAUCCCACGGCUCAACCGUGGAACUGCUUGGUAUACUGGUUCUCUUGAGCCACCUAGGGGCAACCGGAACAAACGGUGGAGCGGUGAAAUGCGUAGAUAUCGUUUGGAACGCCAAUGGUGAAAACAGGUUGCUGGGGGUGUGCUGACGCUGAGACACGAAAGCCAGGGGAGCGAACGGG